CUUCCCUACAUCGCUCGAAACUGACAUACUGAUAUCGCGGUUAACCGCUGUCGAAAUUUGUACGUAUCCACGGGAUUUCGUAGCUUUAUCGCACAUGAACUGCAAACUACUUGUGACGACGAUGGAGACUGCUCUAGCGCUAUUCCCACAAACUUAAAAUUUCUUUAGCCGAUAUCCAUAUAUUAUUUCGUUUUGAAAUUUGCAAACAUAAUGCCAAUCUCGU
This is a non-coding RNA of Paramuricea clavata, 223 nucleotides long. NCBI's taxonomy places the organism in Eukaryota, Metazoa, Cnidaria, Anthozoa, Malacalcyonacea, Plexauridae. The record is from the annotation of a GenBank genome assembly.